Molecule: long non-coding RNA, 329 nt
Filed under: Ananas comosus (pineapple)
Lineage: Eukaryota; Viridiplantae; Streptophyta; Magnoliopsida; Poales; Bromeliaceae
Description: long non-coding RNA (ACOM_LNC017756)
Source: RNAcentral
GUUAGCAACAAAAUAUGGUAUAAAGAACAAUGGCUAGAGAUAGCAUUAAAUGUGUGUCAUAAAGAACACUAGAGUUAGUGUAAAGACAUGAUGAAAGUAAAGAAUGCAAAGAACACUAGAGUUAGUGUAGUGACAUGGUCAAAGUAAAGAAUGCAAAGAACAUGAGAUUGACACAAUGACAUUCUACCUUAGAGCUAAGGGUCAUUUGUGCAUAAAUUCCUUACAGUUAAGAAAUAGAUUGAACUGAACAUCCUUAGAGUUAAGGAUUGAUCAUACUCGCUAUAAGUCCUUGCUUGAGGGUGGUCGCACCCCCUCGGGCGAUGCGCUCC